This 497-nucleotide ribosomal RNA is filed under the name uncultured bacterium. RNAcentral's name for it is "partial 16S ribosomal RNA". It matches the Rfam family "Bacterial small subunit ribosomal RNA", at positions 28 to 507 of the family's 1533-position model. The record is from RNAcentral.
GAUGAACGCUGGCGGCGUGCCUAAUACAUGCCAGUCGAGCGAACGGACGAGAAGCUUGCUUCUCUGAUGUUAGCGGCGGACGGGUGAGUAACACGUGGAUAACCUACCUAUAAGACUGGGAUAACUUCGGGAAACCGGAGCUAAUACCGGAUGAUAUUUUGAACCGCAUGGUUCAAAAGUGAAAGACGGUCUUGCUGUCACUUAUAGAUGGAUCCGCGCUGCAUUAGCUAGUUGGUAAGGUAACGGCUUACCAAGGCAACGAUGCAUAGCCGACCUGAGAGGGUGAUCAGCCACACUGGAACUGAGACACGGUCCAGACUCCUACGGGAGGCAGCAGUAGGGAAUCUUCCGCAAUGGGCGAAAGCCUGACGGAGCAACGCCGCGUGAGUGAUGAAGGUCUUCGGAUCGUAAAACUCUGUUAUUAGGGAAGAACAUAUGUGUAAGUAACUGUGCACAUCUUGACGGUACCUAAUCAGAAAGCCACGGCUAACUACGUG